Phyllostomus discolor (pale spear-nosed bat) is the source of this 165-nucleotide small nuclear RNA. RefSeq annotates it as U1 spliceosomal RNA. The record is from RefSeq and is a predicted model, not a curated record. Lineage: Eukaryota; Metazoa; Chordata; Mammalia; Chiroptera; Phyllostomidae. The transcript has a single exon.
AUGCUUAACCUGGCAGAGGAGAUACCAUGACCACAAAGGUGAUUUUCCCAUGGCAAGGCUUAUGCAUUGCACUUCAGAUAUGCUGACCCCUGUGAUUUCCCCAAAUGUGGGAAACUUGACUGCAUAAUUUGUGGUAGUGGGGUACUGCAUUCAUACUCUCCCUUG